This 3014-nucleotide unclassified non-coding RNA is filed under the name Hevea brasiliensis (rubber tree). The record is from RNAcentral. Lineage: Eukaryota; Viridiplantae; Streptophyta; Magnoliopsida; Malpighiales; Euphorbiaceae.
GCCCUUAUUUAUCAGAUCAAGAGUGAGGCCUGCAAAUUUCUAAUUCCCACUUGAAACUUCAAUUGGCUGCUUUGUAGUUAUAGGGCCACAAAAGCGUAAUGUGACCUGCUGUUAGCUUUGUUUUCUAUAUUUUUCUAUUCCAAAAUUUUUUUUUUUCUGGACAUAUUAUUGUCCCUCUCUUUAGACUAUUUUUCUUCUCAGCAUGUCACUUGUUAGUUUCUGCUGCCGAAUGCCCUUGACAUUCUUUCAAUGAUAAGUUGGCAGGAGUCCUUACACUGCUUUAGGCAUAUCUUUGGUAUGAAUGUGGAAGGAAGAUAUACAGAUAUGCAGGUUUACUUCAUUCCUGGCAACCAUGAUAUUGGCUAUGCAAGCAUCAAUUCUCAUCAUCCAGAGGUUGUCAGACGCUAUUUAGAAGGAUUUGGGAUUAGAAAUUUUUGGUUUACAGCUGGCAAAGUGGAGUUCAUUGCUGUCGAUGCUCAAACUCUCGAUGGUAAAGCAGUUAUCCAAUCUUCACUGACCAUAUAUUUGCAUUUCUGUUGUAUAAUGUAAGUAUAGCAGUUAAAUGUAAUCCCAAAUAUCUGUUAAUUUAUUUUCAUGAUCUGCAAUAUGAAUUUAUAAAAUUGCCUAAAUUUCUUAUAUGUCCUUAGCUCCUGGCAAGCAGCAACUUUAGUUGCUCUUUUCCCUUUACAAACCAUAUAACUAUUAUCCACUUCUGUGGUUUGCCUCAUCUGCUGUCAAGUUAAAAAUUUUACAACUUCAAAUAUUUUGAAGGAGCAUAUCUUUAUUUUGUCAUCACCACGCCACCCACAAGAAAAUUUGGCUUCUUUGACUUGGGAGUUUGUAAAAAAUGUUUCUACAGGUAUGUGAUAUUCGGUUCUUAUUUAGUUACCAAUGAGUUUGUGUUCACAACUUACAGAAUUUUCCCUUUUUCAUUUCUCUAGACAUUCAAUUAGUUCCAAGGGUUUUAUUGACCGAUAUUCCAUUGUAUCGGAGGCAUGAUACUCAUUGUGGCCCUCACCGUAGUUCUCCAAUCAUCAAUCAGGUACCAGAAUUAUGUUACUGAGGAAUCCUCGUACAAAUUGCUGGAGUUAGUGAAGUCUGUAAAUCACUUUCAUGUCCUUGAUUCAUCCUAUGGAUACAAUGUUUGCUUUAAUAGGGGUGCAGUGUUUUCUUUGCAUCCGUGUGCAUGGCAGCCAAAUGCUUAUCAGUUUGUGAGUUUGAAUGUGGUGUAAGUUACAAGAAUAUAUGUUGUCAUGGUCUUGUGUCCAAGCAGGCUCAAAGAAGUGUAAUGCUUCUGACAUUUAACUAGAUUACUAAUGAAGUAUUUUUGAACCGUUGAUGGGAAAAACAAAGAGAGAGAGAUGAUUUCUUGUAUGUGUUUCUUCUAAAACGACAUACAAAUAUGUACACAGUGUAUGCAUAUAAACAUGUUCUUGGAGAAGAUACUUUAACUGGCAAUAAUAUAUAUGGUUUCUUGCAGGCAUUAAUUUUAUCAGGACAUGAUCAUGACCAGUGUACAGUGAUACAUGAGUCAAAAUUUGGGUCCAUAACAGAGGUAAUCAUUUGAUAUUUUGGCAUUUAUAAGUUUUCUGGGGAUAGGCUUUAAUUGACAAUUACAUGCAGCACACUUUAGGGACUAUAAGCUGGCAGCAGGGAAACUUGUACCCGUCUUUCAUGCUAUUGUCUAUUAGUAACUCUGCAAAUGCCAAUGUGUCCACCCCAGAAGAUGCAUUAAUUUCUCAACUAUGCUUUCUUCCGUGGCAAACACACAUUUACAUAUGGUAUCUUUCCCUCUUCGUUCUGACCCUACUUACUCUCCUCUUUUGGCCAACAAGUGGGAUAAGUUUGGGGCAUCACUUGAGUGGUUUAAUGGAAUGUAUGAGACUCUACAGCAGCAUGUUUAGAGGAGGGAAAGAGAAAAAUGAAGAUGAGAAUUGUGAAUAUGAAAUGAUGUGGGAUGCAAAAGGAACCAUGCAUCUUGUGAAGAAAGCAAUAGAUACUCCUAUUCCACUCCCAAGUGAUAAGCUUCAGUUGAAAGUUGUUUCGUCUCUGCAUUGUCAUUAGCAUUAAUCAAUAUUAUACAUAAUACAAACUUAAAAUUUGCAUCUCCUUGUUAUUUGUUAGCUUUUAUACUUUGGAAAUACUUAUGUUACUCUUUUCUAUAUGAUUUAUCUUUUGCCCCCUUAUUUUAUAUGUUUUUUAAUAUGAUGGCAGGGGUAAUGCUGUGAUACGGCCAACAGCAAGAAAAAACAUUUCUCAGGAGAUGGAGGUUUCUAUGAACUUCGACAUCAAUGUAGAGGUUGGAAAUGAUCCAAACAUAAAAUUACCACAUAGAACAAGCAAAUCAAAGACAAGGAUCAUUAUCCAAAGACUAAUGAGGACCUUCAGAAAGGUGACAGUCAUUGCUGCGGUAAAUGUACCUAUAUACAUGAUGUUGCUCUUCAAAGACUGGAUCGACCAGUGACCUUAGAAUACCACAUCGUGAAAAGAUUAUGCUUAAGGUGACUUCUUACUCCUUUUAUUGUACGUGAACGGAUGCCAUUGCCAAAGUUAUCUCCCAUUUGAAGUUCCAAGUAGCCAGUGCAGCAGUCUGGGAAAUUCAUUAUGCUUUUAAUGCAUUUUAGCAGCUGCAAAAUGUGACAGUGAAAUCAGCAUAGUUUCUUAGUUUUUCUCUUCUUGGCAGAUUAUAGAAUGCAUUUGGUGGAUGUUCUCUUCACUCACAUUGGUGUGGAGCUCACUUUCCGUAAAUUUAUGGGAGGACUCACAUUUAUUUGAGUGCAAGGAGCACUAAAAUUGAGUGCUCUAGGUGCACUCACUAAUUUCCCUUGCUGCUUUUUUUGUAGAGAAUUUGGCAGUUGGAACUUGCAGUUGUUGUAAUGGUGAAAUCAGUGAAACUCUUAACUUUCUUAUUAUUUUGUUUUAUUCAGAAAAGUGGCAGUAUUAAUUUUCAUCAAAAGGCCCUUACUGGCAAAAGAUGUACUCAAAUACCUCUAAUGGCAAAGAUAUUAUAGAUC